This is a long non-coding RNA of Lycium ferocissimum, 830 nucleotides long. RefSeq lists it as uncharacterized. NCBI's taxonomy places the organism in Eukaryota, Viridiplantae, Streptophyta, Magnoliopsida, Solanales, Solanaceae. The transcript is spliced from 3 exons. The record is from RefSeq and is a predicted model, not a curated record.
CCUUAAAACGGGCAGAAUCCUACAACUCUCUGUAAAAACGUACACCUCCAGCACAUUUUUCAACGGUAACAUGUACUUUGUCUCUUCAAUUGGCAACGGAUUUUGCUUAUCUUCUCUGGUAAGUUUGGGAUAUGAAUGGUCAAUUGGUGAACGGUCAUAAUUUAUUUGGGUUCUAUAAAUAGAAACCCUUCUCUUCAUUUUUAAAGAAGAUUUCAGGGGGAAGAACAUAGCCACAAUGGUUGUACACCCACAAUGGGGUUUUUGACAACCCUCAAAAGUUUGAACACUUAGAAGCUCAGCAAAAACUUUGAGUUUCGAGGAAGUUCGAGCUCGUACUUUAAUUUUUGCAAAGUCGUUUCCAUUCGUCGAAAAUCGAUUAGUGUGAAAGGUAGUUUGUCGUCUCUCAUCGCCCCCGUCGCUGCUCGGCAAAAAGGACAUCUCUGGUUGCCUUGUGAGUAAAGCUUCUAGCUGCAAAGCACUGCUGCUUAUUCCCACUACCUGUUGGUGCCUCUGCUGAACUUAAAGGGACAGAUCCUACACUUGGCUAAGAAUGGUUGUUGAAGGUUCCACUUCAACACCUCGUGAGUAAUCUUCCCGAGGCCUUGAGUAUGAAUUUCCAGGGUGAGCUAUGUUCCUGAUCAACAGCCCGAAAAACUCUUCUUAUGAUAUCUGUCCAUUGUUCCGAGACAGUAUUCCAGACCUUGUUAUUUUACAUUCCAGACUUAUGUAUAUUUAGUGGCUCUUAUACUUAGACCAGAUUUUGGAGCAUUGUAGUAUUAUUACGCCACUUAGUAGUUAUUUAUAUGCUUUGAGACUAUUUAGUAAUUAUA